This 456-nucleotide ribosomal RNA is filed under the name uncultured bacterium. Its description in RNAcentral is "bacterial SSU rRNA". It matches the Rfam family "Bacterial small subunit ribosomal RNA", at positions 340 to 786 of the family's 1533-position model. The record is from RNAcentral.
UACGGAAGGCAGCAGUGGGGAAUAUUGCACAAUGGGCGAAAGCCUGAUGCAGCUAUGCCGCGUGUAUGAAGAAGGCCUUAGGGUUGUAAAGUACUUUCAUCGGGGAGGAAAAAACAAAACUAAUAAUUUUAUUUCUUGACGUUACCCGAAAAAGAAGCACCGGCUAACUCCGUGCCAGCAGCCGCGGUAAUACGGAGGGUGCUAGCGUUAAUCAGAAUUACUGGGCGUAAAGAGCACGUAGGUGGUUUUUUUAAGUCAGAUGUGAAAUCCCUGGGCUUAACCUAGGAACUGCAUUUUGAAACUGAAAUACUAGAGUAUCGUAGAGGGAGGUAGAAUUCUAGGUGUAGCAGUGAAAUGCGUAGAUAUCUGGAGGAAUACCUGUGGCGAAAGCGGCCUCCUAAACGAAUACUGACACUGAGGUGCGAAAGCGUGGGGAGCAAACAGGGAUUAGAUACC